CCUACGGGAGGCAGCAGUGGGGAAUAUUGGACAAUGGGGGGAACCCUGAUCCAGCGACGCCGCGUGAGUGAAGAAGUAUUUCGGUAUGGAAAGCUCUAUCAGCAGGGAAGAAAAUGACGGUACCUGACUAAGAAGCCCCGGCUAAAUACGUGCCAGCAGCGGCGGUAAUACGUAGGGGGCAAGCGUUAUACGGAUGUACCGGGUGUAAAGGGAGUGGAAACGGUGCAGCAAGUUUGAUGGGAAAGGUCGGGGCCCAACCCCGGGACUACAUUGGAAACUGGUGACCUGGAGUACAGGAAAGGUAAGCGGAAUGCCUGGUGGAGCGGUGAAAUGCAUAGAUAUUAGGAGGAACACCAGUGGCGAAGGCAGCUUACUGGACUGUAACUGACGUUGAGGCUCGAAGGCGUGGGGAGCAAACAGGAUUAGAUACCCCGGUAGUC
Molecule: ribosomal RNA, 440 nt
Filed under: uncultured bacterium
Lineage: Bacteria
Description: partial 16S ribosomal RNA
Rfam family: Bacterial small subunit ribosomal RNA
Source: RNAcentral